This 514-nucleotide ribosomal RNA is filed under the name Tanypteryx pryeri. RNAcentral's name for it is "partial 16S rRNA". It matches the Rfam family "Bacterial large subunit ribosomal RNA", at positions 1819 to 2597 of the family's 2925-position model. The record is from RNAcentral. Lineage: Eukaryota; Metazoa; Arthropoda; Insecta; Odonata; Petaluridae.
GUCUUCUUGACUGGAUAAUAAGAAGUCUGACCUGCCCAGUGAAAAAUUAUUUAACGGCCGCGGUAUUUUGACCGUGCAAAGGUAGCAUAAUCAUUAGUCUUUUAAUAGAGGGCUGGUAUGAAAGGUUUGACGAGGUGCUGACUGUCUCAUUUAAUUUGAAAUUAAAAUUUAACUUUUCAGUCAAAAGGCUGAAAUAAUAUUGGAAGACGAGAAGACCCUAUAGAGCUUUAUAUUUAAUUUAUUAAUAAUUUUUUGGGUAUUAAUUUUUAUUAUUAAUUUAAGUAUUUUGUUGGGGUGACAAAAAUAUAAAAUUAACUUUUUUAUCUAUUAAACAUUAAUUUAUGGUUAUUAGAUCCAAUCUUAUUGAUUGUUAGAAUAAGUUACCUUAGGGAUAACAGCGUAAUCUUCCUCCAGAGUUCAUAUUUACAGGAAGGCUUGCGACCUCGAUGUUGGAUUAAGAUAAUAAUUAGGUGUAGCCGCUUAAUAUAUAGGUCUGUUCGACCUUUAAAUUCUU